CGCUCAGAUUGAACGCUGGCGGCAGGCCUAACACAUGCAAGUCGAGCGGUAGCACAGAAGAGCUUGCUCUUUGGGUGACGAGCGGCGGACGGGUGAGUAAUGUCUGGGAAACUGCCUGAUGGAGGGGGAUAACUACUGGAAACGGUAGCUAAUACCGCAUAACCUCGCAAGAGCAAAGAGGGGGACCUUCGGGCCUCUCGCCAUCAGAUGUGCCCAGAUGGGAUUAGCUAGUAGGUGAGGUAAUGGCUCACCUAGGCGACGAUCCCUAGCUGGUCUGAGAGGAUGACCAGCCACACUGGAACUGAGACACGGUCCAGACUCCUACGGGAGGCAGCAGUGGGGAAUAUUGCACAAUGGGCGCAAGCCUGAUGCAGCCAUGCCGCGUGUGUGAAGAAGGCCUUCGGGUUGUAAAGCACUUUCAGCGAGGAGGAAGGCGGUAAGGUUAAUAACCUUAUCGAUUGACGUUACUCGCAGAAGAAGCACCGGCUAACUCCGUGCCAGCAGCCGCGGUAAUACGGAGGGUGCAAGCGUUAAUCGGAAUGACUGGGCGUAAAGCGCACGCAGGCGGUCUGUUAAGUUGGAUGUGAAAUCCCCGGGCUUAACCUGGGAACUGCAUUCAAAACUGACAGGCUAGAGUCUUGUAGAGGGGGGUAGAAUUCCAGGUGUAGCGGUGAAAUGCGUAGAGAUCUGGAGGAAUACCGGUGGCGAAGGCGGCCCCCUGGACAAAGACUGACGCUCAGGUGCGAAAGCGUGGGGAGCAAACAGGAUUAGAUACCCUGGUAGUCCACGCUGUAAACGAUGUCGAUUUGGAGGUUGUGCCCUUGAGGCGUGGCUUCCGGAGCUAACGCGUUAAAUCGACCGCCUGGGGAGUACGGCCGCAAGGUUAAAACUCAAAUGAAUUGACGGGGGCCCGCACAAGCGGUGGAGCAUGUGGUUUAAUUCGAUGCAACGCGAAGAACCUUACCUACUCUUGACAUCCAGAGAAUUAGCUAGAGAUAGCUGAGUGCCUUCGGGAACUCUGAGACAGGUGCUGCAUGGCUGUCGUCAGCUCGUGUUGUGAAAUGUUGGGUUAAGUCCCGCAACGAGCGCAACCCUUAUCCUUUGUUGCCAGCGAUUCGGUCGGGAACUCAAAGGAGACUGCCGGUGAUAAACCGGAGGAAGGUGGGGAUGACGUCAAGUCAUCAUGGCCCUUACGAGUAGGGCUACACACGUGCUACAAUGGCGUAUACAAAGAGAAGCGACCUCGCGAGAGCAAGCGGACCUCAUAAAGUACGUCGUAGUCCGGAUUGGAGUCUGCAACUCGACUCCAUGAAGUCGGAAUCGCUAGUAAUCGUAGAUCAGAAUGCUACGGUGAAUACGUUCCCGGGCCUUGUACACACCGCCCGUCACACCAUGGGAGUGGGUUGCAAAAGAAGUAGGUAGCUUAACCUUCGGGAGGGCGCUUACCACUUUGUGAUUCAUGACUGGGGUGAAGUCGUAACAAGGUAACCGUAGGGGAACCUGCGGCUGGACC
Molecule: ribosomal RNA, 1513 nt
Filed under: Pectobacterium carotovorum subsp. carotovorum
Lineage: Bacteria; Pseudomonadati; Pseudomonadota; Gammaproteobacteria; Enterobacterales; Pectobacteriaceae
Description: bacterial SSU rRNA
Rfam family: Bacterial small subunit ribosomal RNA
Source: RNAcentral